ACGCUGGCGGCGUGCCUAAUACAUGCAAGUCGAACGCACAGCGAAAGGUGCUUGCACCUUUCAAGUGAGUGGCGAACGGGUGAGUAACACGUGGACGACCUGCCUCAAGGCUGGGGAUAACAUUUGGAAACAGAUGCUAAUACCGAAUAAAACUUAGUGUCGCAUGACACAAAGUUAAAAGGCGCUUCGGCGUCACCUAGAGAUGGAUCCGCGGUGCAUUAGUUAGUUGGUGGGGUAAAGGCCUACCAAGACAAUGAUGCAUAGCCGAGUUGAGAGACUGAUCGGCCACAUUGGGACUGAGACACGGCCCAAACUCCUACGGGAGGCUGCAGUAGGGAAUCUUCCACAAUGGGCGAAAGCCUGAUGGAGCAACGCCGCGUGUGUGAUGAAGGCUUUCGGGUCGUAAAGCACUGUUGUAUGGGAAGAACAGCUAGAAUAGGAAAUGAUUUUAGUUUGACGGUACCAUACCAGAAAGGGACGGCUAAAUACGUGCCAGCAGCCGCGGUAAUACGUAUGUCCCGAGCGUUAUCCGGAUUUAUUGGGCGUAAAGCGAGCGCAGACGGUUUAUUAAGUCUGAUGUGAAAGCCCGGAGCUCAACUCCGGAAUGGCAUUGGAAACUGGUUAACUUGAGUGCAGUAGAGGUAAGUGGAACUCCAUGUGUAGCGGUGGAAUGCGUAGAUAUAUGGAAGAACACCAGUGGCGAAGGCGGCUUACUGGACUGCAACUGACGUUGAGGCUCGAAAGUGUGGGUAGCAAAC
Molecule: ribosomal RNA, 758 nt
Filed under: uncultured bacterium
Lineage: Bacteria
Description: bacterial SSU rRNA
Rfam family: Bacterial small subunit ribosomal RNA
Source: RNAcentral